UAAAAAUAAUAAAAUGGAAUUCUUUCUGUAUUAAAAAAAUAUGAGGCGAGAAGUGAAAGAUCUUCGUCUUCGCGACGUAGUAACAUGUCGACAAGAUGUUACCCUAGAAGUUCUAAGAAACACCAUCACCAUCACAGAUGAUUUUCUUUUUGUUAUUUCUCUGUAUUGACUUUAUCCUCAUUAUAUACGUCUUUAUAUAA
Onthophagus taurus is the source of this 200-nucleotide non-coding RNA. The record is from RefSeq and is a predicted model, not a curated record. Lineage: Eukaryota; Metazoa; Arthropoda; Insecta; Coleoptera; Scarabaeidae.